This 253-nucleotide ribosomal RNA is filed under the name uncultured bacterium. Its description in RNAcentral is "partial 16S ribosomal RNA". It matches the Rfam family "Bacterial small subunit ribosomal RNA", at positions 524 to 776 of the family's 1533-position model. The record is from RNAcentral.
UACGUAGGUGGCAAGCGUUGUCCGGAUUUAUUGGGUUUAAAGGGUGCGUAGGCGGUCUAUUAAGUCAGUGCUGAAAUAUCCCGGCUUAACCGGGAGGGUGGCAUUGAUACUGAUGGACUUGAGUAAAGUUGAGGUUGGCGGAAUUGACGGUGUAGCGGUGAAAUGCUUAGAUAUCGUCAAGAACACCUAUUGCGAAGGCAGCUAACUAAGCUUAAACUGACGCUGAGGCACGAAAGUGUGGGGAGCAAACAGG